ACAAUUCCAAGCUGAGAUGAAGCCUACAUUUUAGAAUGCUUUUAGAUAUUUUUAGUGUUUUGCAAGUUUUCAUUUAUUUUCUAAAUUGAGCUACUGAAAAAUAUAUUAUUGUGUUGCAUCGAUGGAUGGAUUGGAUGUAUGGAAAUGUGAGAGGGAUAAUAAGAAUAGUAUAGAACAACAUAAUAACUCUAACUUCAGAGUCAUUUGUCAAACAACUUGGAGGACUAGAUUUUGUACAACUUUAUUUCCGCGACAACAAACACAAUAAGCAUAAGUUACCAUGUUUUAAAGAAAUGAGCAUGUAAAGAAAAUAAAGCAUAAAUAAACAUCAACACAAAUUGACACCUUUAUAAUUUUUCACUAUAUGAAUCAUACAUCGAUCAUCCCC
Molecule: long non-coding RNA, 388 nt
Filed under: Setaria viridis
Lineage: Eukaryota; Viridiplantae; Streptophyta; Magnoliopsida; Poales; Poaceae
Description: long non-coding RNA (SVIR_LNC007582)
Source: RNAcentral